RNAcentral lists this non-coding RNA (125 nucleotides) under uncultured Enterococcus sp. RNAcentral describes it as "FMN riboswitch (RFN element)". It matches the Rfam family "FMN riboswitch aptamer (RFN element)". From Rfam's summary of the family: The RFN element is a highly conserved domain that is found frequently in the 5'-untranslated regions of prokaryotic mRNAs that encode for flavin mononucleotide (FMN) biosynthesis and transport proteins. This element is a metabolite-dependent riboswitch that directly binds FMN in the absence of proteins. In Bacillus subtilis, the riboswitch most likely controls gene expression by causing premature transcription termination within the 5' untranslated region of the ribDEAHT operon and precluding access to the ribosome-binding site of ypaA mRNA. The record is from RNAcentral. Lineage: Bacteria; Bacillati; Bacillota; Bacilli; Lactobacillales; Enterococcaceae.
CGUCUUCAGGGCAGGGUGAAAUUCCCGACCGGUGGUUAUAGUCCACGACCUGCUUUUUUUAAUUAAAAAGUGGCUGAAUUGGUGAAAUUCCAAUACCGACAGUACAGUCUGGAUAAGAGAAGAUA